CGAUAAUCCACGAGUUACUAUGUAAGAAUCUGUUUCUCUAAUGAUUAAAAAGACAUUUUCUUUUUUUGUUAACCGAAAAUCCCCUUCGAGUGCCUUUCACAUUGCACGAAGUUGUCAAUUUCCUUAACACCUGUUAUCAUAUUUUGAUUCAUUCAGUUAGCUAAAAAGGUCAUGACCCUCAAAAUCAUCCAAUGAUCUUUUGAGAUCACCAGCAACCACACGUUGAUUAAAUUUUUUUAUACAAUGG
This 247-nucleotide long non-coding RNA is filed under the name Mytilus galloprovincialis (Mediterranean mussel). The record is from RNAcentral. Lineage: Eukaryota; Metazoa; Mollusca; Bivalvia; Mytilida; Mytilidae.